Molecule: small nuclear RNA, 126 nt
Organism: Artibeus jamaicensis (Jamaican fruit-eating bat)
Lineage: Eukaryota; Metazoa; Chordata; Mammalia; Chiroptera; Phyllostomidae
Source: RefSeq, a predicted model, not a curated record
GUGUUAUAUGAAAGGAGACAAGGUUAGCAUUCCCCUUGAAAAGGAUGCAAGAGUCUCUUGGGCCUAACAACACACGUGUGGUUAAAGCAUUGCCACCCGCUUCCUCGUAGCUAAUCAUGGCUUUUA